AGUAAGGGAUAUUGCGACAAUGGGCGAAAGCCUGACGCAGCAACGCCGCGUGAGGGAUGAAGGCCUUCGGGUCGUAAACCUCUUUUCGGGGAGAAGAGAGAGGACGGUACCCCCGGAAGAAGUCUCGGCUAACUACGUGCCAGCAGCCGCGGUAAAACGUAGGAGGCGAGCGUUAUCCGGAUUUACUGGGUGUAAAGCGCGUGCAGGCGGUUCUGUAAGUGGGGUGUGAAAGCGCCCGGCUCAACCGGGCGAGGACAUUUCAGACUGCGGAACUGGAGGCAGGUAGAGGCGUGUGGAAUUCCGGGUGUAGUGGUGAAAUGCGUAGAUAUCCGGAGGAACACCAGUGGCGAAGGCGACACGCUGGGCCUGACCUGACGCUCAGACGCGAAAGCAUGGGGAGCGAACGGGAUUAGAAACCCCGGUAGUCCAUGCCGUAAACGAUGUCGACUAGGUGUGGGGGGAGUAACAUCUCUCUGUGCCGGAGCCAACGCGAUAAGUCGACCACCUGGGGACUAC
This 516-nucleotide ribosomal RNA is filed under the name uncultured bacterium. RNAcentral describes it as "bacterial SSU rRNA". It matches the Rfam family "Bacterial small subunit ribosomal RNA", at positions 353 to 883 of the family's 1533-position model. The record is from RNAcentral.